Molecule: long non-coding RNA, 12068 nt
Filed under: Gossypium raimondii (Peruvian cotton)
Lineage: Eukaryota; Viridiplantae; Streptophyta; Magnoliopsida; Malvales; Malvaceae
Description: long non-coding RNA (GRAI_LNC009557)
Source: RNAcentral
AAAGAUUUGGAACCUCAGAGAAACAAGUUAGAGUUAAGAAUGACUGCUUGCGAAAGACCCACAAGACGAGAAGAAAGACUGCAGCCUACUUCUUUGGAGAUUGAAAAUCAUGUGUAUGGCAGAGACAAAGACAAACAGACAAUUCUUGAUUUGCUCUUGAAGAGUGACGACGAAAGAAAUUUUGUGAUUCCCAUCGUUGGGAUGGGUGGGAUUGGUAAGACAACCCUUGCCCAGCUUGUUUACAAUGAUGCUUCCAUUCAACAUCAUUUUCACCUCAAAGCAUGGGCCUGUGUUUCUGAUUAUUUUGAUGUUCUGAGAAUAACGAAAGAAAUCUUACAAGCAAUCACUUCCGUGUCAUGCAAUGAUAAUGAUCUGAAUAUAGUUCAAGAAAAGUUACAGAAGGAGUUGUCCGGGAAAAAAUUCUUAAUUGUUUUAGAUGAUGUCUGGAAUGAGAAUUAUCAUGAUUGGACUAUCUUACAAUCUCCUUUCAAAACGAGGACUCAAGGAAGCAAAAUUAUUGUGACAACAAGAAACCACGGUGUUUCAUCAACAAUGGGUGCCUUGCAUGCUCAUUCUCUAGAGCUUUUGUCAGAUGAUGAUUGUUUGUCUGUAUUUGCGCAACAUGCAUUGGGAGCAAGGGACCUUGAAGGACAUCCAAGCCUAAAGGAAGUUGCUGAGAAGAUAGUGAGAAAAUGCAACGGUUUGCCUUUAGCUGCUAAAACCGUCGGUGGCUUAUUGCGCACUAAUGUAGACCUUCAUGCUUGGGAAGAUAUAUUAGAGAGCGAGAUAUGGAAGCUAUCUAAAGAUCAGUCAAGUAUAAUCCCAGCUCUACAGCUAAGCUACCAUCAUCUUCCUCUACAUUUGAAGCGAUGCUUUAUGUAUUGUGCCAUUAUUCCCAGUGACUAUGAGUUUGAGAAGGAAGAAAUAAUCUUGUUAUGGAGGGCACAAGGGUAUCUACAAGAAGCACGAGAUAAACAGUGCAUCCAUGAUUUGGGUCACAAGUAUUUCAACGACCUAGUGUCAAGGUCCCUUUUCCAAGUGGCCAUCAACAAUAAUUCUCGAUUUGUUAUGCAUGACCUCAUUAAUGAUUUGGCUCAAUCAGUUGCUGGAGAAGUAUGCUUUAAAAUGGAAGGUAGCCAACAAAUUUCGAAGCAUGCUCGCCAUUUAUCUUACAUUGCUGAGAGGUUUGACGGCAUCAAAAAAUUUGAAGGGAUUUAUGAAGCGCAACAUUUACGAACCUUUCUUCCAUUAAGGUUUUCUUCGGUCUUUCGAACUGAUAACUAUCUAACCAAUCAUGUCCUAACGAAUUUGUUGCCAAACUUGAGAUGCUUAAGGGCACUUUCUUUGGAAGGGUACGAAAUCAUCAUGUUGCCAGAUUUUGUCGGAGAUUUGAAACUCUUAAGGUACCUAAACUUUUCUAGGAAUAGUGUUAUUAAAUGCUUGCCGGAAUCAGUUAGUACCCUUUACAAUUUAGAAACCUUUUUAUUAAAGGGGUGUUGUAACCUUGAGAAGUUACCAUCAGGGAUGGAAAAGUUGGUCAACCUAUGCUAUCUUGAUAUCACUGGUGCAUAUAAAUUAGAAAGCAUGGCAAGCAAUUUCAGCAUGCUAACUAAUCUUCAAAAACUUUCCAGUUUUGUUUUGGGCAAAGAGAAGGGACAUAAAAUAAGGGAGCUAAUGAAUUUGUCAAAUCUCAGGGGUGAACUUUGUAUUUCAGGAUUACAGAAUAUAGCUGAGCCUCAAGAUGCAUGGAUGGCUAGAUUAUCUGAUAAGUCGAGACUUGAGAAUUUAGAAUUGCAGUGGAGCAAAGACUUUGAGAAUAGAAGAGAAGAAGUGGAGAAAAAGGUGUUGGAUGGAUUUCAACCUUCUAAGAAGCUCAGGGAGCUCAGCAUUAAGUUCUUUUGUGGUGAAAUGUUGGCAAAUUGGUUGGGAGAUUCAUCCUUCAAUUGUUUACAAUCUUUAUGCCUUGAUGAUUGUAGAAAUUUAUUGUCAUUGCCAUCAAUUGGGAAAUUGCCAUUGUUGAAAAAGGUACGUAUUAAAGGUUUGCGCAGUGUAAGGACUGUGGGAGUUGAGUUCUUUGGAGAGAAUAAGACCAACACAUUUUCUUCAUUGGAGAUUUUAGAGUUUGUGGACAUGCUUAAUUGGGAGAAGUGGAACUUGUGUGAAGUUGAUGAGGCAGCUAGGACAUUCCCUAAACUUCGUGAACUCUUUAUUGAAAAUUGUCCCUUAUUGUUAGGGAGUAUGCCGGAAUACCUCCCUUCUUUGAAGAAACUUGCAAUUCGUAGUUGCGGGAAGUUGAUAAUUUCUGUUCAAAACUUUCCAUUGCUUUCAGAAUUAGAAAUUCAUGGUUGCCACGAGGUAAUUUAUAAAGGUUUUGUAGAUUAUAGCUCUAUAAAAAGAAUCUCGUUUGUUCGGAUUUCCAAGUUUAGUUGGGCAACAGAAUGCUUGAGGUUAAGAUCAAUCAAAGUGGAAUCGUUUGAGAUUGGUGAUUGUGAGGAGUUGUGCUCUUCUCGAGAGAACAAUUGGGGAUUGCUAGCUCAGUCCAUAUCCCCCCAAGAUUUGAGAAUUGAAAAAUGUUCGCAACUUGUAUCCAUAGCAACAGAAGAGGAAAGAGAAGAAUUGAUGCAAAUGAAGAUUCCUUCUAGCAUUGUAAGAAUGACAAUAAGGAAUUGGGGAAGGCUAGAAAAACUAUCGACAACCUUGUACUCCCUCACAUUACUUAUGGAAUUAGAGCUUCACGGUUGCCCAAAAUUGAUUUCUGUUGCAAGGAGCAAUUUACCUUCGAAUCUGAAAGUGCUAAGGAUUAUUAAAUGUAAAAAUUUGCAAUGUUUAUUGUUGGAUGAAGGAAAGGAUGUUGACUCCAACAAUGCAUAUGCUCUUCAGCAGUUGGAUAUUUUCAAGUGUGAAUCUCUAGAGAGAGUAAAUAGAAGUGAGUUACCCUCCACACUGAAAGAACUUCGAAUAAGCAAGUGUGCAAAGCUAGAGUCCAUAUGCCAAGAAAUUCAAGAUAACUCUUCUCUUGAAUCUGUUGUAAUCGAUAGAUGUCAUAUGCUUAAGGGUUUACCUCAAGGAUUGAAUAAGCUCAAGCAUUGCAAGAGCAUAUGGAUAAAUAAUUGUUCAAAUUUGAUUUCCUUACGAAACAGUGGUUUGCCCACCCCAAACCUUGAAGUGCUCCGCCUCCGCUCUUGUAUACUUCUCCAAGCUUUGCCUAGGAAUAUGCACAGUCUCAACUCUCUAAAAAAUUUAGGAAUAAGGAAUUGUCCAAAUUUGACAUCCAUUCUGGAAGAGGGGAUUCCUACCAAUCUCACAUCGCUUAUAAUCGAUGGACCCAAUAUCUGGAAGGCAAUACUUGAGAGGGAUUUGCAUACACUCACUUGUCUUAAAUCUCUCUCCAUAUCAAAUGGGUGUCCAGAUGCAGUGUCAUUUCCUCAAGAUGAGAUAGAAGUCACACUGCCCUCCUCUCUCAGCCAUCUCUACAUCUCGGAUUUCCCGAAACUGGAGAAUCUAUCCUCCAAUGGCUUUCGGAACCUCACUUCUCUCCAGCACUUGACUAUCAAAAAUUGCCCAAACCUCAAGACUCUUUCGGGAAACAACAUGCUUUCUUCGCUUUUGGAGCUAAAUAUCGUGGGGUGUCCAAUGAUGGAAGAAUGGUGCAAAAGGGAUAAAGGACCUGAGUGGUCCAAAAUUACCCACAUACCUUGUGUUGCAUUUUGGAAUUAAUAGUCUGUUGAUGAUUCAGAGACAAGUUCUUUAGAGAAACAAUAAUUUAUGAAUCAAAUUUGCAGGUAUGUCAAUUUGGGUUCAGUAUAUCUCAUACAAAUUUUAUUUUAUUUAUUAUCUUUUUUACAAUUAUUGUCCUAUUCUAUAACUAGAAAAACAAAAUAUAUUGUCCCUUGGCUGGGUCAGGAAUAUUAUUAUUUUAAAAUACGAGUUAUUUUAAUAUUCACUGAAAAAUAGAAUAAUUAAUUUUUGUAAUGGUUUCUGCAUAGUUAAGUGAAGCACCAGAUGGUUUUAAUCUAAACUAUACAAUUUUGCAUGUACCAAAAAAGAAACAACAAAAUUUUGUUUUACCCUUUUUUUAUUUUUCAUCCAAGUUCUAACCAUUAAUUGAAGGACUAAACAGUUUAUGAAUGAAAGUGAGAAUCAAUAUAAUUAAUGUUAUUGUCUAGCCGGCAAUGCCUUGCUGCUGUUUAAUAUGUUUUACUUGGCACUGAUGAAGGAAUUGCAUUGCCCCUCUGAUACCGACCUACGCAUGAAUAUCCUAAUUUACAUCUCUCUUUUAGUUUCUUCUAUAUAUUGCUAUUCGGAUAUGAUGCAACUUUUAUAACACACCUUCAUAUUUUGUUCUUGCAGUUGCUCCUCUGUCAAAUGUGACAAAACAGCCUUUCCAACCAAAUGAUGCAAAACUGAUGAAGAACAAAAGAUGAUUGGUGUUAGUUUAUCAGGAAUUUGGCUGACAUCCCAAUCACAAGUAUAUUAUAAUUGGAAAUGCACCUGAAUUUAUUUGUUAUUAAGAGGAAUUUGGCUGAAAUCCGAUGAAGAGGAUGUCUGAGGUAUAUGAGAAUUUACAAAUGCAUCUGAAUUUAUUUGUAACCUUUAGAAUUUUCUAAUUAGGGAAACUUAGAUAAGCUCUCUUAUUCCUAAUUUGCUAAUUAGGAAAACUUAGAUAAACUUCCUUGGGCUUCACAUCAUUUGAUUAGUUAACAAUUAAUGAAAGCCCUUUGACCAAAACAUGCAGGACUCCUUGGGGAAAUGCAGACCUUUUCUCCAGCGAAAGAGUUGAGCUGAUUCAACUCCUAAUUUCAUAGGCUUCUGCUUGGAUGAGCUUUACAUGGGUACCCUUCCAUUGUAUCAAAAACUUGUCUUUCAUACCAUGCCUCUAAAACUGUAUAGCUAUUUACACUUUGAAUCUCUGUUUGCAGACACUUAUGACAGUGACUACAAGACUCGUGUAUGUUAGUUUUGCAUGAUCGGAUUUGUUACCAAUAGCUGUAGCUUGUGGAUCUUCGGCUUCAAAGUUUGUCUCAAUUGUUGGAAUUUCUCAAACUUUUUCCGUUAUAUUUUGGAAUAAUCACUUCUUGAUGAUAGCUAAGAUAGAGUUAUGUAUUUAUUGUGAUCAUGUAGCCACACUUUUAUAUUAUAGUGAAGUUUUGAGUGUACUCUCAAGUCCCGUGGUAUUUUCCCUUUGAUUUAAAGGGGUUUUUCACGUAAAAAUUUUGUCUCAUGUGAUUGAUGCUGUGAUUAUUCUUGGCUGCUUUGUGUUUUUCUUUUAAGAAUAUUUAGAGCUAUUUGUGCUGCGGUAAUUACCAAAAAAGAGCUGUAGUUAUGCUUGCAUCUCUUCUGUUGGGGAGCAGAGCAUUCUAUGAAAAUAAAUAAAGAAUAAAACAUCAUCAAAUACGAGAAGCUGCAAAUCGAACUUCACAUCUGAGACUGAGUUUUCUUUGAUUUACUGAUGUCUGGUAUUUGGUAUUGGUAAAGCUCAAAGUUACAUUUAAAAAGAAAGAAUGAAUACAUAAGAAGUCCUCCAUCUCCUACAAUUAUAAAAUUAAUCAUUUUCGUAAAUAUAAUUUAGUCAUAGUAUAACAUCUGUUUAAAAUAAAGUAUGUGUAACUAACUUACAGGAUAACCCUCGGUGGCUGAAUCAGUUAGUACCCUUUACAAUUUAGAAAUCUUUUUAUUAAAGGGGUGUUAUAACCCUGAGAAGUUACCGUCAGAGAUGGAAAAGUUGGUCAACCUAUGCUAUCUUGAUAUCACUGGUGCAGAUAAAUUAAAAAGCAUGGCAACCAAUUUUAGCAUGCUGACUAAUCUUCAAAAACUUCCCAGUCUUGUUUUGGGUAAAGAGAAGAGACAUAAAAUAAGGGAGCUAAUGAAUUUGUCAAAUCUCAGGGUGAACUUUUGUUGAGUCUUUUAAACAAAUCAAAGAUCAAAACAACUAAAAUUUGUGUUGAAAGAUGAAAACAGAUGCAAAAAUCGAAUGCUGAAGGAGAAAAGAAGUUGUCUUUCUCUCUUACUUCAUUAAGCAAAAUAACUUGUACAUAUAUGGUUCUAUUACAUUGGAAGAAAAAAAAGUCUUGCUUGAUUCUGGGCCUAGUCGGAACAGUGGUUUCGGGACCACAAAUCCGACGAGAGAAAAUAUGAUUAUCAUUAUAUUUUUAUGGUCUACAAUUUCACGGAAAAAUUUCAUAAAAAUUUCGUAAGAAAAUUUCGACAUUUGGGCACUCAAUUUAGUCAAAAGAACUAAAUUGUAAAAAGUGCAAAAGUUGAGUUCUACAUGUUGAAGUGUCUAAUUGUUAUGAAAUUAUAAAUUGGGGGUCCUUAUAUGGUAAUUAGACCAUUAGUUAAUUGAUGGUCAAAAAUAGAUAUAAGAAAGGGGUGAAAUAGAUUUUUUUAAAUGGGGGCAUUUUAGUCAUUUAGUAAUAAAAAGAAUUAAAAAGGGAAAAAGAUGGCAAAAUGUGCUCAUCUUCUUCAAGGUGAAUGAAAUCAGCAAGGGGGAAGCCAUAGUUAGGGUUUUUAAGCUUCCAAGCUCAAUAGUAAGUGAUUCCAAGCCCCGUUUUUAAUGUUCUUUACGUUUUUAGAGUCCCGGUAACUUAAUUUAGCUUAUUCUAGCAAUAAUUUAACCUAGGAUUUAUAUUUGGAAAAAUACCCAUAGAUGAAAAGUGUUUAUUUUGCUAUUUUAUGGUGUAAUAUGUAGCUAGAAAUUAUGUUAAACAACUUUUGCUAAGCGAUUUUAAACGAAAACGGGUAAAUUGACAUAAUCGAUAAAAAUACCUAAUGUUCAAAAGUGUGUCUUAGAGUGAGGAUUUGAUGUUGUCAUAGAAGGGAAAAAUGUUCAGCAUGUCAUAAAACAUAAGAAUAAGAGAUGAAUUUUAAUUUUCGAGCUUAGAGAUAAAAGUGUAAAUAUGUAAAAGUUUGGGGCAAAAUUGUAAUUUUUCAAAAAAGUUGGGUGGAGGGCUAUUUUAUUAAAUGUGAACAUUAAAUGAGUUAAAUUUGCUAUUAUAGAUCAAGAAAGACGAGAAUACUACCUCAAACGGGGAAAAGAGAAGAUAGUGGAGUAAAUUACAAAAUUACGAUAUUUUGCGCUGAGAUAAGUAAACAUGUGAUUUAAUGCAUUAUUUUGAUAUUAUUCAAUAUAUGUUAGGAUUUAAUAGAACAUAGAAUAAAUAUUCGGCAAGAUCUUAAAAAUGUGGUUAAGUUGGGAAAGGUGGUAAAAUGUUGAAAAUAUGGGUUUCGGUUGAACACUCGAAAUAAGCCGGAGUACAUUGAAUAUAAAGGGGGUUGCUAAGUGUUGAUUCCCCCAAGGGGUUGCUAAGUCUGAUUCUCUGACUCAUUGGUGGUUGCUAAGUGCUGAUUUCACCGUAUCUUUGAAUAUAAAGGGGGUUGCUAAGUGCUGAUUCCCCGAUUCAUUGGUGGUUGCUAAGUGCUGAUCCCAACGUAUUUUAAAUGUGAAGGGGGUUGCUAAGUGCUGAUUCCCCCAAGGGAUUGCUAAGUGCUCAUUCCCCGAAUCAUUGGUGGUUGCUAAGUGCUGAUUCCACCAUAUCUUUGAAUGUGAAAGGGGUUGCUAAGUUCUGAUUCCCUGAAUCACUGGUGGUUGCUAAGUGCUAAAUCCACCGAUAACGAUUAACAUUCUGAGUGUUCAACGAGUAAAUUGGGAAGGUGAAUAUUUAUAUGUGGUGGACAAGUUUAUGGGAGGAAUAUUGGGUUUGAUACUUAAUCAACCCAUGUAUAAGAUGGGAGGAAAUAUCAAAAAUACAAAAGAAACAAUUUAAAUACAAAACUGUUUUGAACAACAGUAGUUGGGAAACUUUGAAAAAUCACCAUAAACGGUGGAAAAUUAAUUAGAGGUUGAAUAAUAUAUGAAAUUGAAGCUGAAUGAGUCUAUUUUCAUAUGAAAGAAACAGAGAAAGCAAAAGAGUUGUAUAUUUGGGGAUAUUUGAAUUUAUUUGAGACAGGGUUGGAUUGAUUUCGAAAUCCCCUGUUCCAACUUUGGAAAAUGACCAAAAAUUGUAAAAAAAUAAUUAUGGCCUAAAAUUUAUAUUCCUGGAUUCCUUAAUGAGUCUAUUUUUAAUAGAAACAAACAAUAACAUUUUUUUAAAUUUUUUACAGGGAGUUAAUUAAAUUUUAGUAAAGGGAGGUCAGAACCAUCGGGUAGUGAAAUAGGGGAAUCUUUAAAAAAUAAACUGUAAUAAUGGGCUAAAUAAAAAAUUCUGAAAAUUUUAUGGUUGAAAUGUAUAUGAGUCUAGUUUUGGGGAAAAUUUACGGAACUUAAUUUGGAGUCUUGUAGCUCCAGAUAAAAAUAAAUUAGCAUCUGUGAUGCAGAAAGACAGUUUGCUGGAAAUUAAACGAACCUUGAAAUUUAUGUAUGAUUAAAAUUAUGUUACUAUGUAAUCAUGUGAGGAAUUUAUUUAUUUUUCAUAUGUUUACUUACUAAGCUAUAUGCUUACUCGUUUUUAUUUUCCCUUGAUUAUAGUGACAUCAGCCAGCUCGGAAUUUGGACGAAGUCAGGAAAUCAUCCACACUAUCAUCAACUUUUUGGGUAUUUUGUAAUUAAUAUUUUUGAAAUAUGGCAUGUAUAGAUGACUUUAUGUGAUGUGGUAUAAGUAUAUAUAUAGUAUUGUUCGGUUUAAUAUGUUGGUGAUUAUUAAUGGAAAAAUUAUGUCUGAACAUAUAUCUGUAAUUGGUUGGAAAUAUUGAAGUUGUUUGAAAUUGUUUUUGAAAAGUUGCAGGGAGUUUUAUGUAAAAACAAGUAGAAAUGCUGCCGAAUUUUUUAUAAAAAAUAAUUUAUAAGUGUUUGAGUUCUAGUAAUACCUCAUACUCUGUUUCGGCAAGGAACACGGGUAAGGGGUGUUACACAGAUGCUCCAGAAUAGACCCAAAACAUAACAAAUAAGUAAAACUCCAGAAGAAAUUUAGGUACCUGAAACGGAAUUUUAAAAUAAUGAAAAUAAAAGAUCUCGAUAAGUUAUGUCAAUUCGAGAAAAUAUGAAAUCGAAUAAUAAAAGUGGUCGACAAUGGUUUUGCAUGCAAUAUUAUUAUUGAAAUAAUGAAAUAAAAGGAAAAUGUUGAAUAAAUUUAUUGACAAAUAUGGAUAUGAAAUAAAUUGAUCAAAAUAAAAAGACAAAACUCAAGUACAAUUAAAUUCGUGGAGUUUUUGGACCAGAAGUCCAAAUAUCUAAAGGUAUAAAACCAAUGAGGAUUUUGCAAAAGCGAAAUAAAAAUAUGAAGUUUUUCGCUAAGCCUUGACGUUAAUUGUGAAAAGAUAUAAUAUUCUUUCGCUAAGCCCUAACAUUGAUUAUGAAAAGAUAUACUAUUCUUUUGUGGUGGAUGCAAUAACCUUUAGAUAUAUUAUUAAACUGGCAAUUCCCAAAAAAAUUAACUUGCGCCUAAUGAUUAUUGUUACAACAUUUUAUGAACCACUAUAUAGUAAAAUUUAUAUUAAAAUCGUUGAAGGAUUCCGAAUGUUAGAUGCAUAUUGAAAUUUUCGAGAAAUUGUUCAUUUAUAUGAAUUGAAAUAAUUUGAACAUAUGUGGUAAAUUUAACUUAGUGAAUAAUAGUUGAAGGAGGAUUAUAAAAUGAUCCAAAAUACUUAUUUGUGUUUUUAUAGAAGAAUCAUGAUUAAAGUUUGCUAUGAUUAUUGUUAAAUCUUUUGAAGAAAUCAAAACAUAUUUCUCCUAAAUUUUCCCUCACUCAUGACUUUCAAAAGAAUAGUAAUAUAAAUGCUUAGCAAAUACAUUCAAAUAGUCAUUUGAAAAACUAAUAUUCAAGAUUGAAUACAUAGAAUAUAAGAAAGUAUGUGAUGUUUUCAUGAGGGGGAGUAAAUACGAAUUGCACUCUUUUUCCCUUAACCAAGGUUUUGCCCCAUUGAGUUUUUUUGGUAAGGUUUUUAAUGAGGCAACAUGUUAUGUGUAUUAUAGGUAUGUGUACUCCUUUUCCUUCACUAGGAAUUUUUUUCCAUAGUGUUUUUAUCUUAGUAAAGGUUUUAAUGAGGUACAUUAUCAACCAAGGAAUCCAAUGGUGAGUGUUAUGAAUAUCUUAUUAAGUGGAUGUCCAUCAAGAUCAAGAUAAAUUUUUAUCUACUUAAAAUUCUAAUAGUCAUUAUUAGAUUAGAAUUAGAUCUCAACUUCGUUUAUACUUUUUAUGCCUAUAAAUAUAGACUUUGGAGAAGCAUUAUAAAUAUUCCUAUUGAUCAAUAAGAUACACUCUCUUUUGCUCUCCCCAUUUUCUUUGUUCUUCUCUCAAUCUCUCUUUAUUUUAUAACAAGAUUUAGUUUAUGUAGUUAAAAAGCUAAAAAUUAAGUAUAUAUUUUUUAUAUUGAUAUUAUUAAUAUUUUCAUUAAAAUUUGUUAACUUAACUUGUUGAUUAAGUUAUCUUUAUAUGAUACAUAUGAUUGAAAUAAACAUAUCAAAUUAAUAAAUUUUGAUAAAAAUAUUAAAAAUAUUAAUGAUUAACUUAAAAUUUUUAAAUAAACAGAACAUUUUAACGUUUCAAAUAUUGUAUCUAAAUCUCAAAUUUUACCAAAAAUAAUGAAUUAAAUUAACAUCAUCAAGUAAAUUUUAGUUUACAUCAAUUCAUUCAAAUUGCAGCAGUUUAUUCAACGAUAAUUCAUAAGGUUUAAAAUGAAAACUUAACUAUAAAGAUGAUUUCUAAAUAAAAUAGAUAGACCUUUCUCUUAGUCUCAAGUCGAUGGAUCUUCUCAACUGGAGAAUUCUCUAUAUAGAUAAUAUAUGGAUAAUACACAUUCUAGUUGACUGAGCUUAAUUCUAUUCUAAUUUUUUUUGUUCCGAAGCAAAAAUAUCCAUGGGGCGAUUCGCCCUAUUCAAAUAUUCACGAUCGAGAAAUACUGAAUUCUCUUUCAGAUAAGUUUUUCGUUUAUGAAAAUAAAAUAUAUUUUAUAAUCAAUCAUUUAUUUUAAAAUAAAAGAUAUCAACUACCUUAAUUUCGAAAAAACAAAGUUAAUUGUAAAUUUGCCAAGUAUCACGGUCUCUUGUGAGAAGUAAAUAAUUAUCUUACAUUGUCAACUUUUGAGAGUGGGCCGAUGGGUGGCAAUUAUUACGAACGUUUUGAAGUCUGUUCUCAUUAUAAAUGUCCCGUUUAACAUUCCGCCAACCUUAACUGUCUGCUUCCCACUGUUAAGGGUAGAAAUUACGACGAAAAGAGCUGGCAUUUUCUUUAGAAAUUAUUGUGUAGGAAGAUUCGAAAAUCAAGAGGUAAAAGCAAGAUAGCAAACUUCAUUCACUUCCCUCUACCUUCGCUCAACACUCUUUUCUCAACCUUUCUCUACUCUUAUUCCUUGCAAGAUGGCAACCAAGCUUUUUCUUGAUGCCUUGUCCGCUAUAAAAGAAGUUUUUGUCUCCAAGUUCGUUGACUUUUCCCUUGAGAAGCUGGCCUCAUCCGACCUCCUGCAAUUCGCUGCUCAAAAAAAGGUUCUUGAGGAGAUCCAGAACUUGGAGAAGGAACUGAAGCAGAUCCGUAGGGUGCUUGAUGAUGCUGAAGAGAGACAGAUGAAAGAGCAGCUGGUGAAAGACUGGUUGAUCGACCUCCAAAACUUGGCAUUCGAUGUGGAGGAUGUUUUGGACGAGUUUGCAACCGAAAUUGGCAGGCGCAAUCUGAUGAUGGAACGUCGAGGCAGCUCAAGUAAGAGAUCCAGACUCAAUAUUCCUCAUUCAUUCAAUGAUGUUCUGUUUAACAGAGAUAUAAUGUUCAAGAUAAGGGAUCUUACUGCCAAAUUGAAAGAUUUGGAACCUCAGAGAAACAAGUUAGAGUUGCGAAUGACUGAUUGGGAAAGACCCACAAGACUAGAAGAAAGACUGCAGCCUACUUCUUUGGAGAUUGAAAAUCAUGUGUACGGCAGAGACAAAGACAAACUGACAAUUCUUGAUUUGAUCUUGAAGAGUGAUGACGAAAGAAAAUUUGUGAUUCCCAUCGUUGGGAUGGGUGGGAUUGGUAAGACAACCCUUGCCCAGCUUGUUUACCAUGAUGCUUCCAUUCAACAUCAUUUUCACCUCAAAGCAUGGGCUUGUGUUUCUGAUUAUUUUGAUGUUUUGAGAAUAACGAAAGAAAUCUUGCAAGCAAUCA